Molecule: ribosomal RNA, 364 nt
Filed under: uncultured bacterium
Lineage: Bacteria
Description: partial 16S ribosomal RNA
Rfam family: Bacterial small subunit ribosomal RNA
Source: RNAcentral
CCUACGGGAGGCAGCAGUGGGGAAUAUUGCGCAAUGGGCGAAAGCCUGACGCAGCGACGCCGCGUGAGGGAUGAAGGUCUUCGGAUCGUAAACCUCUGUCAGCAGGGAAGAACGGUCACUGUGCUAAUCAGCAGUGAAUUGACGGUACCUGCAAAGGAAGCACCGGCUAACUCCGUGCCAUCAGCCGCGGUAAUACGGCGGGUGCCAACGUUAAGCGGAAUUACUGGGCGUGAAGCGCGCGUAGGCGGUAUGCCGAGUCCAGGGUGAAAUCCCCGGGCUCAACGGGGGGACUGCCUUGGAAACUGGAAGACGGGAGUGUGUGAGAGGAUAGUGGAAUUCCAGGUGUAGGAGUGAAAUCCGUAGA